GACGCCGCAUGGGGGAUGACGGCCCUCGGGUUGUAAACCCCUACCCAGUGGGAAGAACAGGGAUGUCAGGUAAUGGGCAUCCUUUGACAUUACCACUGAUACUAGCUCCGGCUAACUACGUGCCAGCAACGUCGGUGACUGAGCGGGCUGGCAAGGCGCAUA
Molecule: ribosomal RNA, 162 nt
Filed under: uncultured bacterium
Lineage: Bacteria
Description: partial 16S ribosomal RNA
Rfam family: Bacterial small subunit ribosomal RNA
Source: RNAcentral